CGAACGGGUGAGUAACGCGUGAAUAACCUGACUCAAAGAGGGGGAUAACAACGGGAAACUGUUGCUAAUACCGCAUGAGACCACAACACCGCAUGAUGAAGGGGUCAAAGAUUUAUCGCUUUGAGAGGGGUUCGCGUCCCAUUAGGUAGUUGGAAGGGUAACGGCCCACCAAGCCAACGAUGGGUAGCCGAGCUGAGAGGCUGAUCGGCCACACUGGAACUGAGACACGGUCCAG
Molecule: ribosomal RNA, 235 nt
Filed under: uncultured bacterium
Lineage: Bacteria
Description: partial 16S ribosomal RNA
Rfam family: Bacterial small subunit ribosomal RNA
Source: RNAcentral